Molecule: long non-coding RNA, 1006 nt
Filed under: Sorghum bicolor (sorghum)
Lineage: Eukaryota; Viridiplantae; Streptophyta; Magnoliopsida; Poales; Poaceae
Description: long non-coding RNA (SBIC_LNC018039)
Source: RNAcentral
UCCCGGUGAAUAUAUUGAUAUACAUUGUUAUUAGUUCAUCCUCUACACAUUGGUAUAAUUAUCUCUCACCUCUUUACUUUCUUGCAAAAUUAGUUGUAACUAGUAGACUAGUUUUAGUUAGUUGUAGCUAGUUGUAAAGAGUAGUGACAUAGCCAUUGCUUGUGCCUAGAGAUCAUAGCAACUAGAAUUAUUAUAUAGGUGGCUUGCAUCUCUUGUAGAGCUAGAGCAAAAUUGCUUUACGCCGUUUGUUAUAUUAAUCCUUUGUUCUAGUGCUUUGUAGAUUUUUUUAAAUAGGCUAUUCACCCCCCCUCUAGCCAUAUUAGGACCUUUCACAUGUAACCAUACACCUUACGAUAUCAUAUUCAAUAUGUUGUGGCAAGUUUAGUCUUGUCACGAAAUAUUGACAGAAGAACUAUUGUUACUAUAUUAAUGAAAAUGUCAUCUAAUGGUUAUAGAAGCUCCUUCAAAAUGGCUCCGACUUCUCCAAAGAAGCCCCUCAGGAGGAACCCUGCCAAAUACCCCCUUACUCAUUGCUACUUGGUUCUCAUGUGAUAACCACGACGUGCUUGCUGAACAUCCUUGACGAUAGCUUCGUGCAAUGUUUGUGUUGUCUAUGAAUAUGAAGGUCCACGUGUACAUAUUUCUUUGUAAUACUUGGACUGUAACAUUAUUGGUGUUACUACAAGGUAUAUAUUUUUGACACAUUUUAUAUGUUCCAUUUAUAUGUUACAACAUAGUACACUCUUGUAGCAUUUUGCUUGUAACAUUAAUUUUGUGUUACUAUAAUUAUUGCUAGUAACACAUUUCUAUAAAAAAGUACUUUGUGUUACAACCAAAGUCUGUAACACACUAUUUUGUGUUACUGUGAAAUUUUACUAGAACAUAUUGAUGAAUAUGUUACAAGAAAGUGAUACAAUAUCCUUGUUUUGUGGUAGUGCUCCUCUCUCCCUCUCUUUCUAGCCCUAACCAAAAGCUCUCGACCUAACAAAUAAGAGGCUAAUCCCCA